RNAcentral lists this non-coding RNA (22 nucleotides) under Arabidopsis thaliana (thale cress). Lineage: Eukaryota; Viridiplantae; Streptophyta; Magnoliopsida; Brassicales; Brassicaceae. The record is from RNAcentral.
GUGUAAAACGCCGAGCCUGCCU